ACGUAGGUGGCAAGCGUUGUUCGGAAUUAUUGGGCGUAAAGCGCGCGCAGGCGGUUAUGUAAGUCUGAUGUUAAAGCCCGGGGCUCAACCUCGGUUCGCAUUGGAAACUGCGUAACUUGAGUGCAGAAGAGGAAAGCGGUAUUCCACGUGUAGCGGUGAAAUGCGUAGAGAUGUGGAGGAACACCAGUGGCGAAGGCGGCUCGCUGGGCAGUGGCUGACGCUGAGGCGCGACAGCGUGGGGAGCAAACAGGA
Molecule: ribosomal RNA, 252 nt
Filed under: uncultured prokaryote
Description: partial 16S ribosomal RNA
Rfam family: Bacterial small subunit ribosomal RNA
Source: RNAcentral